Molecule: unclassified non-coding RNA, 335 nt
Filed under: soil metagenome
Description: partial contains 5.8S ribosomal RNA, internal transcribed spacer 2, and large subunit ribosomal RNA
Rfam family: 5.8S ribosomal RNA (bases 1-119)
Source: RNAcentral
GAUGAAGACGCAGCGAAAUGCGAUAAGUAAUGUGAAUUGCAGAAUUCAGUGAAACAUCGAAUCUUUGAACGCACAUUGCGCCCGCCAGUAUUCUGGCGGGCAUGCCUGUUCGAGCGUCAUUUCAACCAUCAAGCCCCAGGCUUGUGUUGGGGACCUGCGGCUGCCGCAGGCCCUGAAAACCAGUGGCGGGCUCGCUGUCACACCGGGCGUAGUAGAUUUUAUCUCGCUCAGGGCGUGCUGCGGGUUCCGGCCGUUAAAAAGCCUUUUUCACGCAAGGUUGACCUCGGAUCAGGUAGGAAGACCCGCUGAACUUAAGCAUAUCAAUAAGCGGAGGA